This is a long non-coding RNA of Oncorhynchus keta (chum salmon), 277 nucleotides long. RefSeq lists it as uncharacterized. The transcript is spliced from 3 exons. The record is from RefSeq and is a predicted model, not a curated record. NCBI's taxonomy places the organism in Eukaryota, Metazoa, Chordata, Actinopteri, Salmoniformes, Salmonidae.
ACAACAUCAACUUCACACAACACAGAAAGAAACAGGUACAACAUCAACUUCACACAACACAGAAAGAAACAGGUACAACAUCAACUUCACACACAACACAGAAAGAAACAGGUACCACAACAACUUCACACGCAACACAGAAAGAAACAGGUACCACAACAACUUCACACACAACACAGAAAGAAACAGGUACCACAACAACUUCACACAACACAGAAAGAAACAAGUACCACAACAACUUCACACACAACACAGAAAGAAACAGGUACCACAUCAA